GACGAAGGAUCCAAGCGUUAUCCGGAUUUAUUGGGUUUAAAGGGUGCGUAGGCGGAUUGAUAAGUCAGUGGUGAAAGCCUGCAGCUUAACUGCAGAACUGCCAUUGAUACUGUCAAUCUUGAAUAUGUUUGAUGUGGGCGGAAUAUGACAUGUAGCGGUGAAAUUCGUAGAUAUUGGGAGGAACACCGGUGGCGAAAGCGGCUCUCUAGACCAUUUCUGACACUCAUACGCGAGAGCGUGGGUAGCAAACAGG
This 253-nucleotide ribosomal RNA is filed under the name uncultured bacterium. Its description in RNAcentral is "partial 16S ribosomal RNA". It matches the Rfam family "Bacterial small subunit ribosomal RNA", at positions 524 to 776 of the family's 1533-position model. The record is from RNAcentral.